This 83-nucleotide microRNA precursor is filed under the name Bombyx mori (domestic silkworm). Its description in RNAcentral is "mir-2807 microRNA precursor family". It matches the Rfam family "mir-2807 microRNA precursor family". The record is from Rfam by way of RNAcentral. Lineage: Eukaryota; Metazoa; Arthropoda; Insecta; Lepidoptera; Bombycidae.
UUAACUCAAAUUUGUAUGGAGAUUCAACGUUUGCUACGUUUACCGCUAGGGACGUUUUUUCAACGGCAUACAAAUUUGAGUUA